Molecule: ribosomal RNA, 256 nt
Filed under: uncultured bacterium
Lineage: Bacteria
Description: partial 16S ribosomal RNA
Rfam family: Bacterial small subunit ribosomal RNA
Source: RNAcentral
CACGUAGGGGCCGAGCGUUGUCCGGAGUUACUGGGCGUAAAGGGCGCGCAGGCGGCCACGUACAUCUCUGGUGAAAGCCCCGGGCUCAACCCGGGAGGGUCCAGGGAGAUGGCGUGGCUGGAGGCAGGGCGAGGGCGGUGGAAUUCCGGGUGUAGUGGUGAAAUGCGUAGAGAUCCGGAGGAACACCAGUGGCGAAGGCGGCCGCCUGGACCUGACCUGACGGCUGAGGCGCGAAGGCGUGGGGGAGCGAACGGGG